UACGUAGGGUGCAAGCGUUAAUCGGAAUUACUGGGCGUAAAGCGUGCGCAGGCGGCUUUGCAAGACAGAUGUGAAAUCCCCGGGCUCAACCUGGGAACUGCAUUUGUGACUGCAUGGCUAGAGUACGGGUAGAGGGGGAUGGAAUUCCGCGUGUAGCAGUGAAAUGCGUAGAUAUGCGGAGGAACACCGAUGGCGAAGGCAAUCCCCUGGACCUGUACUGACGCUCAUGCACGAAAGCGUGGGGAGCAAACAGG
Molecule: ribosomal RNA, 254 nt
Filed under: uncultured bacterium
Lineage: Bacteria
Description: partial 16S ribosomal RNA
Rfam family: Bacterial small subunit ribosomal RNA
Source: RNAcentral